GAUGAACGCUGGCGGCGUGCCUAAUACAUGCAAGUCGAGCGAACAGAUAAGGAGCUUGCUCCUUUGACGUUAGCGGCGGACGGGUGAGUAACACGUGGGUAACCUACCUAUAAGACUGGGAUAACUUCGGGAAACCGGAGCUAAUACCGGAUAACAUUUGGAACCGCAUGGUUCUAAAGUGAAAGAUGGUUUUGCUAUCACUUAUAGAUGGACCCGCGCCGUAUUAGCUAGUUGGUAAGGUAACGGCUUACCAAGGCGACGAUACGUAGCCGACCUGAGAGGGUGAUCGGCCACACUGGAACUGAGACACGGUCCAGACUCCUACGGGAGGCAGCAGUAGGGAAUCUUCCGCAAUGGGCGAAAGCCUGACGGAGCAACGCCGCGUGAGUGAUGAAGGGUUUCGGAUCGUAAAACUCUGUUAUUAGGGAAGAACAAACGUGUAAGUAACUAUGCACGUCUUGACGGUACCUAAUCAGAAAGCCACGGCUAACUACGUG
Molecule: ribosomal RNA, 497 nt
Filed under: uncultured bacterium
Lineage: Bacteria
Description: partial 16S ribosomal RNA
Rfam family: Bacterial small subunit ribosomal RNA
Source: RNAcentral